ACGGGGGGCGCAAGCGUUAUUCGGAAUUAUUGGGCGUAAAGGGCGCGCAGGCGGUCUUGUCCGUCAGGUGUGAAAGCUCGGGGCUCAACCCCGGAAGUGCACUUGAAACAGCAAGACUUGAAUACGGGAGAGGAGAGAGGAAUUCCUGGUGUAGAGGUGAAAUUCGUAGAUAUCAGGAGGAACACCGAUGGCGAAGGCAUCUCUCUGGACCGAUAUUGACGCUGAGGCGCGAAGGCGUGGGUAGCGAACGGG
This 252-nucleotide ribosomal RNA is filed under the name uncultured bacterium. RNAcentral describes it as "partial 16S ribosomal RNA". It matches the Rfam family "Bacterial small subunit ribosomal RNA", at positions 525 to 776 of the family's 1533-position model. The record is from RNAcentral.